Molecule: ribosomal RNA, 301 nt
Filed under: uncultured bacterium
Lineage: Bacteria
Description: partial 16S ribosomal RNA
Rfam family: Bacterial small subunit ribosomal RNA
Source: RNAcentral
CAGCCGCCGCGGUAAUACGAAGGGUGCAAGCGUUAAUCGGAAUUACUGGGCGUAAAGCGUGCGUAGGCGGUGAGUUAAGUCUGCUGUGAAAUCCCCGGGCUCAACCUGGGAAUGGCAGUGGAUACUGGCUCGCUAGAGUGUGUCAGAGGAUGGUGGAAUUCCCGGUGUAGCGGUGAAAUGCGUAGAGAUCGGGAGGAACAUCAGUGGCGAAGGCGGCCAUCUGGGACAACACUGACGCUGAGGCACGAAAGCGUGGGGAGCAAACAGGAUUAGAUACCCCAGUAGUCCCUGUCUCUUAUAA